UAGGGAAUAUUGGGCAAUGGAGGCAACUCUGACCCAGCCAUGCCGCGUGCAGGAAGAAGGCCCUCUGGGUUGUAAACUGCUUUUGGACGGGGACAAAAGGCCCAUGCGUGGGAGAUUGAGUGUACCGUCAGAAUAAGCACCGGCUAACUCCGUGCCAGCAGCCGCGGUAAUACGGAGGGUGCAAGCGUUGUCCGGAUUUAUUGGGUUUAAAGGGUGCGUAGGCGGCCCUGUAAGUCAGUGGUGAAACCCUUGGGCUUAACCUAAGGAGUGCCAUUGAUACUGCAGGGCUUGGGUCAUCUUUGGGCGGGCGGAAUGGAUGGUGUAGCGGUGAAAUGCAUAGAUAUCAACCAGAACGCCGAUAGCGAAGGCAGCUCGCUGAGGAUGUACCGACGCUGAGGCACGAUAGCGUGGGGAUCAAACAG
This 422-nucleotide ribosomal RNA is filed under the name uncultured bacterium. Its description in RNAcentral is "bacterial SSU rRNA". It matches the Rfam family "Bacterial small subunit ribosomal RNA", at positions 355 to 775 of the family's 1533-position model. The record is from RNAcentral.